AGUAUCACGCCGGGAUUGAGCGGACUACUCUGAUGACGUAGAAAACGGGUUUACUGACCCUGAUACUU
RNAcentral lists this transfer RNA (68 nucleotides) under Gibbosula laosensis. Its description in RNAcentral is "tRNA-Ile". The record is from RNAcentral. Lineage: Eukaryota; Metazoa; Mollusca; Bivalvia; Unionida; Margaritiferidae.